This is a non-coding RNA of Parelaphostrongylus tenuis, 71 nucleotides long. The record is from the annotation of a GenBank genome assembly. Lineage: Eukaryota; Metazoa; Nematoda; Chromadorea; Rhabditida; Metastrongylidae.
ACGUCGGUGGUGUAGUGGUAGCAGGUGUCCUUGGAAUGGAUGAGACGCGAGUUCGACUUCCGUCUAAGGUU